GGCAGCCGGAUAGCUGCGUCAAGGAAUGUAAGAUCCAUUGAUGAGGAAAGUCCGGGCUUCACGGAAACAAGAUACCAGAUAACGUCUGGCCGGAGAGAUCCGAGGGACAGUGCCGCAGAAAAUUACCGCCGUGAUUUAAUUACGGUAAGGUUGAAAAGGCGAGGUAAGAGCUCACCGCAUGAGCAGUAAUGUUUAUGGCUGGGUAAACCCUAUCUGAUGCAAGACCAAAUGAGGGGGCGUUUAUAUAACGCGAGGGCAGUUUCCGGCUCGCCCCAGAGGUAGGUCGCACCAGCCAAGCGGCGACGCUUGGCGUAGAUGAAUAGCUAUCGCACAUACCUUUGCCUUUAUGGUAAAGCUAUUUGUGUACAGAACUCGGCUUAUAGGCUGCCU
This 390-nucleotide RNase P RNA is filed under the name bovine gut metagenome. Its description in RNAcentral is "Bacterial RNase P class A". It matches the Rfam family "Bacterial RNase P class A". Rfam says of the family: Ribonuclease P (RNase P) is a ubiquitous endoribonuclease, found in archaea, bacteria and eukarya as well as chloroplasts and mitochondria. The record is from RNAcentral.